GCGCCCGUAGCUCAACUGGAUAGAGCAUCUGACUACGAAUCAGAAGGUUUGAAGUUCGAAUCUUCACGGGCGCG
RNAcentral lists this transfer RNA (74 nucleotides) under Chthoniobacterales bacterium. Its description in RNAcentral is "tRNA-Arg". It matches the Rfam family "tRNA". Rfam says of the family: Transfer RNA (tRNA) molecules are approximately 80 nucleotides in length. Their secondary structure includes four short double-helical elements and three loops (D, anti-codon, and T loops). Lineage: Bacteria; Pseudomonadati; Verrucomicrobiota; Spartobacteria; Chthoniobacterales. The record is from RNAcentral. RNAcentral also lists the same sequence under 1 other name.